GACGAACGCUGGCGGCGUGCUUAACACAUGCAAGUCGAACGGAAAGGCCUCUUUCGGGGGGUACUCGAGUGGCGAACGGGUGAGUAACACGUGAGUAACCUGCCCUUGACUUUGGGAUAACUUCAGGAAACUGGGGCUAAUACCGGAUAGGAGCUCCUGCUGCAUGGUGGAGGUUGGAAAGUUUCGGCGGUUGGGGAUGGACUCGCGGCUUAUCAGCUUGUUGGUGGGGUAGUGGCUUACCAAGGCUUUGACGGGUAGCCGGCCUGAGAGGGUGACCGGCCACAUUGGGACUGAGAUACGGCCCAGACUCCUACGGGAGGCAGCGGUGGGGAAUAUUGCACAAUGGGUGGAAGCCUGAUGCAGCAACGCCGUGUGCGGGAUGACGGCCUUCGGGUUGUAAACCGCUUUCGCUCAUGACGAAGCUUUGUGUGACGGUAGUGGGUAAAGAAGCACCGGCUAAGUACGUG
RNAcentral lists this ribosomal RNA (467 nucleotides) under uncultured bacterium. Its description in RNAcentral is "partial 16S ribosomal RNA". It matches the Rfam family "Bacterial small subunit ribosomal RNA", at positions 28 to 507 of the family's 1533-position model. The record is from RNAcentral.